This 854-nucleotide ribosomal RNA is filed under the name Odorrana macrotympana. RNAcentral describes it as "partial large subunit ribosomal RNA". It matches the Rfam family "Bacterial large subunit ribosomal RNA", at positions 1511 to 2583 of the family's 2925-position model. The record is from RNAcentral. Lineage: Eukaryota; Metazoa; Chordata; Amphibia; Anura; Ranidae.
CGUCAAAGCUUAACUACCAUAACCCCUUAAUUACCAAAUUAUAUCAAACCCCUCAUCCCUACCGAACCAUUUUAUACUAUUAUAAAAAUGAUUAUGCUAGAACUAGUAACAAGAACUAGCCGUUCUCCACAAUGCAAGCUUAAACCAAAAUGGACACCCCAUUGGUAAUUAACGUAAAUGUAAAACCAUAGCAACAUCCACCAGAAAACCCUAUGACCUACCCCACGUUACCCUAACACCAGAGCAUUACAGGAAAGAUUAAAAGAAAGAGAAGGAACUCGGCAAACCUUGGCCCCGCCUGUUUACCAAAAACAUCGCCUCUUGAUUAUAUAUAAGAGGUCCAGCCUGCCCAGUGAAAUUUUUAACGGCCGCGGUAUACUGACCGUGCGAAGGUAGCAUAAUCACUUGUUCUUUAAAUAGGGACUCGUAUCAACGGCACCACGAGGGCUAUACUGUCUCCACUCUCCAAUCAGUGAAACUGAUCUCCCCGUGAAGAAGCGGGGAUCUAAUUAUAAGACGAGAAGACCCCAUGGAGCUUUAAAUUCAACAUGCACCUAUUUAAUUAAUCACCAACUUAGCUUCAAAAAGCUGCAUGUUAAUUUUAGGCUGGGAGGGCCGCGGAGUAAAAUUAAACCUCCACAACAAAUGGGUUAAUACCCUUAUCUUCGAUUGACAAAUCUAAGAAUCACCAAAAUGAUGUUAAAUGAUCCGAUAACUCGAUUAAUGGACCAAGUUACCCUGGGGAUAACAGCGCAAUCCUCUUCAAGAGCCCAUAUCGACAAGCGGGUUUACGACCUCGAUGUUGGAUCAGGGUAUCCUAGUGGUGCAACCGCUACUAAUGGUUCGUUUGUUCA